CCCUACGGGGUGCACCUCGACGAGGGGCAUGCACGUCGCAUCGCAGAAAGGUUUCUCAGUCAUGGUCUCGGGAUUGAUCUAUCCAAAUAUAGCUUUGUCGAGAGGAGCACCAUGGAGGCCCGCCCCCACCGACUGGAUCAGGGUUUUGUAUGGAAAAUGUCCGAUUUUGGCAACGUCGGCGGUUCGGAGUACCGCAUAUCGGUAACCCUUCAGGGCGACAAGGUCGGAGGUUUUUCCCGGUGGCUCAAGAUUCCUGAGGCCUGGAGCGUCUCACGAGAGGCGAUAGCGUCGAAGCGGAAGCUUCUCGUAGAUCUCUCCGAUCUGCCCUUGAUCAUCCUAUACCUGGCAAUAGCCGCGGUACUCCUUCGCCGGGCACACGCGGGCGAUGUUCCGUGGCGCUGGCCCCUUCUCCUGGGGAGGGC
RNAcentral lists this ribosomal RNA (422 nucleotides) under uncultured prokaryote. RNAcentral's name for it is "partial 16S ribosomal RNA". The record is from RNAcentral.